Molecule: long non-coding RNA, 4958 nt
Filed under: Brassica napus (rape)
Lineage: Eukaryota; Viridiplantae; Streptophyta; Magnoliopsida; Brassicales; Brassicaceae
Description: long non-coding RNA (BNAP_LNC021031)
Source: RNAcentral
AUCACGUGACGACGAGUCAUACCGAAAACACACGACACGUAAAAGAGAAAGAACGAUAUGGGGAUCUUCAGAUUGUAAGCGAGAUAAACGUCUCAGAGAAAGAUGAUUUCUCAGAGAAAACAGAAUCUAGUGAAGAUUGACCCAUAUAGGUCGCUCAUCAUUGAUUCUGGUAAUGUUGCAAAUCAAAUCAUGAAGAUCCUAGGAGAGGAGAAAGUGCAAAAUAAUAUGUGGGUGACAAGUAGAUAUAGGAGGAUGGAGAUAAAAGAAAAUAGCUGUAUUAUAUGAGUUUGCCAAAAAAAAAAACGGUAUUAUAUGAUUUUCUCGGGAUUUGCUGGAAUUAUCAGAGGAAGUGAAAGAAAACUCCGAAACGUCUGGUUACCCGGAAAGAUCGGAGAGGAUUCUUUUUCUUGUGCAACUAUCGAUCGGAGAGGAUAUAACCAAAGACUACUAUUUUCCUCUAAAAUUAAACAACAAUAAAAAAAAACAAAAUAAUUGUUUUUUUUCGUCGCUGUGGUUGGCCCACACGUGAUGAGUGAUUUUUGGAACAAAGUCGUUUUUGGAGUUAUCUUCCAGACGUGAACCACUAAUUCCUUGCCUAUCAAAGCACCUCAAUUUGUGGAACUGCUAACUGGAUUUGUUGUUUUCGCUAGCUAUAGAAGUUUAGAUAAAAAUAGAGGUUUUCUUUUUUACUUUUAUAGUUUUAUACAUGUCAAAGAUAAGUUUAGAAAUUGUAAUAAAUCAAGUGAUGAAUGUCCAUAACCGGCUCAUACUUAGAAUCGGCUCAUACCUAGAAGAGAGAUGGCCGAAACCCUAGAGAGAGACAAGAGAGAGAGGCGGCCGACUUAGGAGAGAGAGAGAGAGAUAGCCGACUUAGGGUUUCCAUAUUACUAGAUUUCAUUUUCCUUAUAUUUGUAGUUAUCCUAAAUCUAGAUGGAUUAGGAUUUGUAUAUUUUCCAUUUAUUUCUAUCUUGUAAUCCUUAUAUAAAUGAAGAUCUUCUGGCGUGGGUCUUCUUAGAUACUCAUCUCCAAAUAUAUUUAUGAUUCCUUGAACAAAAUGUUCCAAGCAUAAAAGCGCGGUGGUCUCACCAAGUCGGAGGUAUUCGUCGACGGCAUCAGCUGGGCAACCAUACGCCAUCAUACGGAUAGCUGUCGUUGCCUUUUGUAACGGAGAGUGACCGAACCUUCCAGUAGCAUCUCUUCUUUGUUGAAAGUAUGGGAUUUCAGCGGAGAGUCGACCAACAUGAGAAACAGCAUGAUAAGAAACAAAACUGACAGAGAGAUAGCAUGAUAAGAAACAAAACUAACGGAGAGAUAGCAUGAUAAGAAACAAAACUAACGGAGAGAUGGACAAUAUUAUACAUUAACCAGCAUGAUAAGAAACAUCAUUAAUCUUACAACAUUAAACAGCUAUUUUACAUUAAGAUAAGGCAAUUAUCUUACAAACUCGACACAAACAGCUCACAGAGACAACUAAAACACAACUAAAGACUCGACACAAACAAUUUUUGCUUGUUAAAUCCAGAUCAUACAGACGCAACUAAAGACUCAACAUAUCUUUAAUAAGUUUGUUUUUUAAGGCAAGUUCGAGUUCAGUUAAUGGCUCAGUCUUUGCAAUUAGAGAGUCAAGCAAUUUUUGCUUGUUAAGAGUAUCUUUUUGCUUGUUAAGAGUAUCUUUCAAAGCAAAGUCCUUCUGUCGAAUACCCCAGAUGCUCUGCAACUCCUUUUCUUCCUCAUCCAACUUCGUUGCAUUGAUCACAGCCCUUUUUCCUUUCGCCUUUGCCGCUUUAACUCCAAUAGGGCGCUUGGAUUGAUCAUCCUCUCCAGCCACAGAAGUUGAUGAUUGUGCAGAGUGCUCAUCUAACUUCCUCCUUUUUGACUGCACCUUAUCUUUAGUUGUAGAUGCGCCACACCAUUUCUGAUCGUGUCGCAGCUCCAACCAUGCGUGCUCAAGGGUAAACUUCGCCUUGUAGUCAUUGAAGUAAAUCUCAUGAGCCAGUUUCAUUACAUCAUUCUCGUUCUGGCCACUUGAUUUCUCUUUUGUUGCCGCAACAUAGCAGCCAACGAACUUGCAGACGCCCUCAUUGAUCUUCCCCCACCUUUGUUUGCAAUGAGUAGGCUCUCUCGUUUGCAAACCAGAUAGCUUGGGACUUGCAGCAAAAUAAGCUGCAAUGCGUUUCCAAAACGCAAUGGCUUUUUGCUCAUUCCCAACUACAGGGUCUUUGGAGGUGUUCAACCAAGCACUGAUGAGCACAUGAUCCUCUGUUGGUGUCCACUUCCUUCUCUCUUUACGGUCCUCCACAGUGGGGGCUUCAACGUUUUCUUCUUCAGACCAAGGACCGAACAAAGAGACAUUCGACGCAGAGAUAUCUACACUAGGUUGAGUGUUUGGUUGUUGAUGGUUUAAGAGAUCCAUAAAGCUAGAAGGUUGAGUAUAUGAAUCCAUAAAAUUGUUUAUGGAUUCAAAGGAAAUAGGAACGUUGUAAGGAAGUCGAAAAGGAGAAGUAUUUGAUUGUUUUACGUGUUGUUGUUUAGGAGUAUUGUUCAGAUUUUAAAGGAAACUUAGAAUUUUUAGUUUUUGAAGUUACUUACUUUGUGUGUUAAUGGCAAUCAAUGUUCAUACUUACAACUAAAAGAAACUACAACUAAAAGAAACACGACAACAAAGGCAAAUCACAUCCACACAACUAACAUAUACCAUUUAAUUUUCAAACCUAAGCUCUAACCAAUACCAUUUAAUUUCCAAUCCUAAUGAAGCUCUAAAAAAGCAUUAAAGACAAGUAUGCUAACCUCUUGCUGAUUGAAGUGAAAGAUGGAUCUUCUGGCCAUGUUGAAUCCGUAAUGAAUGAAAGGAAACUCUCCAACUGUCGGCUCCCGCUUCUUGAUGAUCACCACUCCUCACACAACCAACAAAAAUAGAAUUAUAUAAGCAAAGUAAUAAACCCUGAUCAAUCAAAUAUUUACACAGAUAACCGAACACAAAAUGAUAUGAAAAUAAAGACAAGAACAGCUUAGUGUGAUAAUGUGAAACACAAUUGACUCUGCUUCCAGACUAAUAGAGACAGUUCUUCCUAAAAUUCAUCAUCAACACUUGUUAUAACAAACCAACCGACUCUGUUUCUAUGCAAAGGAUUCAAUAUUUUCAACAGUCAAACAAAACUCUACUACCAAUCUAAUAGAUUUCACCUUCCUCAAUAUUAUCAAAUAAAUCACCACUGUUAUCAUCUUUUAAUAAAAGUUCUUUUUCAAAAGACAAAACUCUACUACCAAUCUAAUAGAUUUCGAACUUAUCUUGCUUCUUCUUCCAUCUUGUCUAAGUUAUAUCCUUCCCUCCAUCCUUGCUUUCUCUUCAAGCUUCAUCAUAACAGCGGAUCACGAGCAGAGAGUGUGAGAUAAACCAAAUUGGAGACAUAAGUAACAUAAAGAUCAAAUCAAAAUGACGAUUUCUUACCGAUAAGGAGACCGAGACGAGAUUUCAGACCAGAUUCGAGAGAGACGACGAGAAUCGACACGAGACAGACGGCGAGAGAGACGACGAGAAUCGAGACGAGAGAGACGGCGAGAGAGAUGACGAGAGAGACGACGAGAUUCAACACGAGAGAUACGACUAUACAGACGGCAAGAGAGACUACGAGAAUCGAGACGAGACAGAUGGCGACCGAGACGGCGAGAGAGACGGCGAGCUUCGAGACGAGAGAGACGACGAGACAGACGACGAUCGCCGAGAUGACAGAGUCGACGAAAAUCGACAGAUACGAAGAAAUUCAAGUGAGAAGACGAAGAAGUCGAGAAUGCAAACCAAAAGCCAUUCGGCUUUAUCGCGACGAAGGAGAGAGAGAGCAUUUGAUUUGCGGUCGAAUCACAAGCCGCCACGUAAGGACUUCCUAACUGCUCUAAAAAGCCCAAAUAAGACAGCGGUUCUAAAAUUUUUUGACCUUUUUUAUUUAUUUUUAAUUACCUUUUCUUAGGUGCCUGUUGUUAGGCACUCCCAAUGGACCUGCUCUAAAAAACCACUCAAAUCAAAACUAAAUCCAAAAAACAUCCAAGCAACGAACGAAUUGCAAACAUUAUAUUUGAAUCAAACAAAAUUAAAAGCAUAAAUACUGCUAUGUUUUUUUGGUUCUAUUCACAUAGCCACAUAAUUAUCAAAGUCAAAUACUGUAUAUAUUAAAUUAAAUACUACUAUAUUCUCACAAACUUCACAGAAUUUAAAAUUUUCCCGAUGACUCCGUAUCCCUCUGCGAGGGGCUUCUCCAAAAACCUGCCCCAUAAAAAUGUUCCAACAUUUCAUCCUCAAGCAUGAUAACAUCGUUUAGUUCGCAAUUCGCUUCGUUUUUCUCAAUAACAACAAUCUCAGCCGUUAGAUCUUCUUCCUUCAAUCUUGCAUGCACGGUGCUCUCUCUCCCUUUCGCCGCUGAUGAUGCAAGCAAACCAUGUCGUUUCAUCAUAAAACGUCGACGUUUGCUACGUUUCCACGCUUUCUUACAAACAGCCGCGGGAACCUUGUAAACAGCCAAAACAACCAAAUUAACCACAGCGCAAGGGCAGCAGCAGCACACCGCCGCGCACUCUGCCGCCGCUCCUCCCGCUACUUCUCCCACCUUCCUCCUCUCCGCGUGUUUGCUCAUCUUCGUUGUCAUGGGCGGAGAGCUUCUUUCUUCAGAUAUCAAUAUCACGUGACGACGAGUCAUACCGAAAACACACGACACGUAAAAGAGAAAGAACGAUAUGGGGAUCUUCAGAUUGUAAGCGAGAUAAACGUCUCAGAGAAAGAUGAUUUCUCAGAGAAAACAGAAUCUAGUGAAGAUUGACCCAUAUAGGUCGCUCAUCAUUGAUUCUGGUAAUGUUGCAAAUCAAAUCAUGAAGAUCCUAGGAGAGGAGAAAGUGCAAAAUAAUAUGUGGGUGACAAGUAGAUAUAGGAGGAUGGAGAUAAAAGAAAAUAGCUGUAUUAUAUGAGUUUG